GAUGAACGCUGGCGGCGUGCCUAAUACAUGCAAGUCGAGCGAACGGACGAGAAGCUUGCUUCUCUGAUGUUAGCGGCGGACGGGUGAGUAACACGUGGAUAACCUACCUAUAAGACUGGGAUAACUUCGGGAAACCGGAGCUAAUACCGGAUAAUAUUUUGAACCGCAUGGUUCAAAAGUGAAAGACGGUCUUGCUGUCACUUAUAGAUGGAUCCGCGCUGCAUUAGCUAGUUGGUAAGGUAACGGCUUACCAAGGCAACGAUACGUAGCCGACCUGAGAGGGUGAUCGGCCACACUGGAACUGAGACACGGUCCAGACUCCUACGGGAGGCAGCAGUAGGGAAUCUUCCGCAAUGGGCGAAAGCCUGACGGAGCAACGCCGCGUGAGUGAUGAAGGUCUUCGGAUCGUAAAACUCUGUUAUUAGGGAAGAACAUAUGUGUAAGUAACUGUGCACAUCUUGACGGUACCUAAUCAGAAAGCCACGGCUAACUACGUGCCAGCAGCCGCGGUAAUACGUAGGUGGCAAGCGUUAUCCGGAAUUAUUGGGCGUAAAGCGCGCGUAGGCGGUUUUUUAAGUCUGAUGUGAAAGCCCACGGCUCAACCGUGGAGGGUCAUUGGAAACUGGAAAACUUGAGUGCAGAAGAGGAAAGUGGAAUUCCAUGUGUAGCGGUGAAAUGCGCAGAGAUAUGGAGGAACACCAGUGGCGAAGGCGACUUUCUGGUCUGUAACUGACGCUGAUGUGCGAAAGCGUGGGGAUCAAACAGGAUUAGAUACCCUGGUAGUCCACGCCGUAAACGAUGAGUGCUAAGUGUUAGGGGGUUUCCGCCCCUUAGUGCUGCAGCUAACGCAUUAAGCACUCCGCCUGGGGAGUACGACCGCAAGGUUGAAACUCAAAGGAAUUGACGGGGACCCGCACAAGCGGUGGAGCAUGUGGUUUAAUUCGAAGCAACGCGAAGAACCUUACCAAAUCUUGACAUCCUUUGACCCUUCUAGAGAUAGAAGUUUCCCCUUCGGGGGACAAAGUGACAGGUGGUGCAUGGUUGUCGUCAGCUCGUGUCGUGAGAUGUUGGGUUAAGUCCCGCAACGAGCGCAACCCUUAAGCUUAGUUGCCAUCAUUAAGUUGGGCACUCUAAGUUGACUGCCGGUGACAAACCGGAGGAAGGUGGGGAUGACGUCAAAUCAUCAUGCCCCUUAUGAUUUGGGCUACACACGUGCUACAAUGGACAAUACAAAGGGCAGCGAAACCGCGAGGUCAAGCAAAUCCCAUAAAGUUGUUCUCAGUUCGGAUUGUAGUCUGCAACUCGACUACAUGAAGCUGGAAUCGCUAGUAAUCGUAGAUCAGCAUGCUACGGUGAAUACGUUCCCGGGUCU
Molecule: ribosomal RNA, 1372 nt
Filed under: uncultured bacterium
Lineage: Bacteria
Description: bacterial SSU rRNA
Rfam family: Bacterial small subunit ribosomal RNA
Source: RNAcentral